GUCUGCAUGGUGUAAUGGGAACACGCCCGGGGCCAGUAACAUCGUUACAAAGUAUGCUUCUACAGGCGAUGCGGGUUCGAUUCCCGCUGUGGAUG
Molecule: non-coding RNA, 95 nt
Organism: Mycena metata
Lineage: Eukaryota; Fungi; Basidiomycota; Agaricomycetes; Agaricales; Mycenaceae
Source: the annotation of a GenBank genome assembly